This 254-nucleotide ribosomal RNA is filed under the name uncultured bacterium. Its description in RNAcentral is "partial 16S ribosomal RNA". It matches the Rfam family "Bacterial small subunit ribosomal RNA", at positions 524 to 776 of the family's 1533-position model. The record is from RNAcentral.
UACGAAGGGGGCUAGCGUUGUUCGGAAUUACUGGGCGUAAAGCGUAUGUAGGCGGAUCGUUAAGUCGGGGGUGAAAUCCCGAGGCUCAACCUCGGAACUGCCUUCGAUACUGGCGAUCUUCGAGUCCGGGAGAGGUGAGUGGAACUCCGAGUGUAGAGGUGAAAUUCGUAGAUAUUCGCAAGAACACCAGUGGCGAAGGCGGCUCACUGGCCCGAUACUGACGCUGAGGCACGAAAGCGUGGGGAGCAAACAGG